Molecule: ribosomal RNA, 887 nt
Filed under: uncultured bacterium
Lineage: Bacteria
Description: bacterial SSU rRNA
Rfam family: Bacterial small subunit ribosomal RNA
Source: RNAcentral
GAUCCUGGCUCAGGAUGAACGCUAGCGGCAGGCUUAAUACAUGCAAGUCGAGGGGGCAGCAAUGUCACCGGCGAACGGGUGCGUAACGCGUAUGCAACCUACCUACAUCAGGGGGAUAGCCCUAGGAAACUGGGAUUAACACCGCAUAAUACUAGACAUGGCAUCAUGAUUAGUUGAAAUAUUUAUAGGAUGUAGAUGGGCAUGCGUAGGAUUAGCUAGUUGGUAAGGUAACGGCUUACCAAGGCUACGAUCCUUAGGGGCUCUGAGAGGAGUAUCCCCCACACUGGCACUGAGAUACGGGCCAGACUCCUACGGGAGGCAGCAGUAGGGAAUAUUGGGCAAUGGAGGCAACUCUGACCCAGCCAUGCCGCGUGCAGGAAGACGGUCCUCUGGAUUGUAAACUGCUUUUGAAUGGGAAGAAUGUGCUCCUUGCGAGGGGUAAUGACGGUACCAUUAGAAUAAGCCACGGCUAACUACGCGCCAGCAGCCGCGGUAAUACGUAGGUGGCGAGCGUUAUCCGGAUUUAUUGGGUUUAAAGGGUGCGUAGGCGGCUUAAUAAGUCGGUGGUUAAAAGUAGCAGCUUAACUGUUUUACAUGCCAUCGAUACUGUUGAGCUUGAGAUAUUUGGAGGCAGCUAGAAUUUCCGGUGUAGCGGUGAAAUGCAUAGAUACCGGAAGGAAUACCAAUUGCGAAGGCAGGUUGCUACGAAUAAACUGACGCUGAUGCACGAAAGCGUGGGGAUCAAACAGGAUUAGAUACCCUGGUAGUCCACGCCGUAAACGAUGAUUACUAGUUGUUGGGGUUUAAGCCUCAGUGACCAAGGGAAACCGAUAAGUAAUCCACCUGGGGAGUACGCCGGCAACGGUGAAACUCAAAGGAAUGACGAA